UAGGGAAUAUUGCUUAAUGGGCGAAAGCCUGAAGCAGCAACGCCGCGUGAACGAAGAAGGCCUUCGGGUCGUAAAGUUCUUUUACGUGGGAUGAGGAAGGACAGUACCACGAGAAUAAGUCUCGGCUAACUACGUGCCAGCAGCCGCGGUAAAACGUAGGAGACGAGCGUUAUCCGGAUUUACUGGGCGUAAAGCGCGUGUAGGAGGCGCUACAAGUUGGAUGUGAAAGCUCCCGGCUUAACUGGGAGAGGUCGUUCAAGACUGUAGGGCUAGAGUGAGGCAGAGGUAGAUGGAACUCCGGGAGUAGUGGUGAAAUGCGUAGAUAUCCGGAAGAACACCAGAGGCGAAAGCGAUCUACUGGGCCUAAACUGACACUGAGACGCGAAAGCCAGGGUAGCAAACGGG
This 405-nucleotide ribosomal RNA is filed under the name uncultured bacterium. RNAcentral describes it as "bacterial SSU rRNA". It matches the Rfam family "Bacterial small subunit ribosomal RNA", at positions 355 to 776 of the family's 1533-position model. The record is from RNAcentral.